CCUACGGGAGGCAGCAGUAAGGAAUAUUGGGCAAUGGAGGCAACUCUGACCCAGCCAUGCCGCGUGAAGGAUGAAGGCCCUAUGGGUUGUAAACUUCUUUUGUACGGGAAUAAACCUGGUUACGUGUAACCAGUUGAAUGUACCGUAAGAAUAAGCACCGGCUAACUCCGUGCCAGCAGCCGCGGUAAUACGGAGGGUGCAAGCGUUAUCCGGAUUUAUUGGGUUUAAAGGGAGCGUAGGCGGGAUUGUAAGUCAGUGGUGAAAGCCCGUAGCUCAACUACGGAACUGCCAUUGAUACUGCAGACCUAGAGUACACUUGAAGUGGGCGGAAUGUGUCAUGUAGCGGUGAAAUGCUUAGAUAUGACACAGAACACCAAUUGCGAAGGCAGCUCACUAAAUUGUAACUGACGCUGAGGCUCGAUAGCGUGGGGAUCAAACAGGAUUAGAUACCCUGGUAGUCCACGCCGUAAACGAUGAUUACUCGAUGUUGGCGAUACACUGUCNGCGUCUGAGCGAAGACGAGUUAAGUAAGUACCGACCGUACGGGUAAGGUACGGUCGUUCGAGUACGUUAGUUAACGUACGAAGAGUUAGUAGGACGGNGAGAGAGCGACGACGACGACGACGGAGGAGGAGG
Molecule: ribosomal RNA, 636 nt
Filed under: uncultured bacterium
Lineage: Bacteria
Description: bacterial SSU rRNA
Rfam family: Bacterial small subunit ribosomal RNA (bases 1-536)
Source: RNAcentral